GAGCCACUAGAUGCAGCGGUUAUGAAGCGGGACCUUCAAACCUGAGUGUCAUGGGUUCAAAUCCCAGCUGGCCCA
Molecule: non-coding RNA, 75 nt
Organism: Megalops atlanticus (tarpon)
Lineage: Eukaryota; Metazoa; Chordata; Actinopteri; Elopiformes; Megalopidae
Source: the annotation of a GenBank genome assembly